RNAcentral lists this long non-coding RNA (617 nucleotides) under Gossypium barbadense (sea-island cotton). Its description in RNAcentral is "long non-coding RNA (GBAR_LNC023485)". Lineage: Eukaryota; Viridiplantae; Streptophyta; Magnoliopsida; Malvales; Malvaceae. The record is from RNAcentral.
UUUAUCUCUUCCUCCUUUCUUCAGUUAAGGUUUCAACACCCAUCAUCGCCGGCGGUUCACCGUGCCGAACGGAGAGGGGAGCUGCCACGGGGUAGAUCCGGUAAGACUCUUUUCUUCCUUGAUUCUUUUUCGUUUUAAAGUAAGUUAAUGAAAAAAAAAAUAAAACAAAGCAAAGAUAAACAGAAAGAUUGAGAUAACAGAGGAAAAAAAAUUGAAGUUUCACCUUCUAAGCUUUUCUUUUUUCUUUUGUUUUUGAUACAAACUUUUUGUACAUCCUCCCCCCUUUUCGUUUGUUGUUUGGGUGGCUUUUAUAUGGCCUAAUUUUUACAUACUUUAUUAUUAUUUUCUAUUCUUGCUUCUGUUUUGCUUGUUUUCAGGGCAUGGGCAUGGACGGUGGGGUGUGUGAUGGUGCUGGUGGCAGACAGCAUGGGAGAGUGGGAGUGGUGCUGGUGGCAGACAGCAUGGGAGAGUGGGAAGAGGCAAGUGGGAGUUUAGGGUUUUGGGAUUGGGCUUGGAUGUUGGGCUAGGUUAAUUUUAGGUUUUGGGUUUGAGGAUGGGUUAAAUGGUUUAAUGGGCCUGGGUAUUUUGUAAACGGGCCAAAAUUGGCCUACAACAGU